This 1590-nucleotide ribosomal RNA is filed under the name Staphylococcus aureus. RNAcentral's name for it is "bacterial LSU rRNA". It matches the Rfam family "Bacterial large subunit ribosomal RNA", at positions 1337 to 2925 of the family's 2925-position model. Lineage: Bacteria; Bacillati; Bacillota; Bacilli; Caryophanales; Staphylococcaceae. The record is from RNAcentral.
CCGAUUGACUAAGGUUUCCAGAGGAAGGCUCGUCCGCUCUGGGUUAGUCGGGUCCUAAGCUGAGGCCGACAGGCGUAGGCGAUGGAUAACAGGUUGAUAUUCCUGUACCACCUAUAAUCGUUUUAAUCGAUGGGGGGACGCAGUAGGAUAGGCGAAGCGUGCGAUUGGAUUGCACGUCUAAGCAGUAAGGCUGAGUAUUAGGCAAAUCCGGUACUCAUUAAGGCUGAGCUGUGAUGGGGAGAAGACAUUGUGUCUUCGAGUCGUUGAUUUCACACUGCCGAGAAAAGCCUCUAGAUAGAAAAUAGGUGCCCGUACCGCAAACCGACACAGGUAGUCAAGAUGAGAAUUCUAAGGUGAGCGAGCGAACUCUCGUUAAGGAACUCGGCAAAAUGACCCCGUAACUUCGGGAGAAGGGGUGCUCUUUAGGGUUAACGCCCAGAAGAGCCGCAGUGAAUAGGCCCAAGCGACUGUUUAUCAAAAACACAGGUCUCUGCUAAACCGUAAGGUGAUGUAUAGGGGCUGACGCCUGCCCGGUGCUGGAAGGUUAAGAGGAGUGGUUAGCUUCUGCGAAGCUACGAAUCGAAGCCCCAGUAAACGGCGGCCGUAACUAUAACGGUCCUAAGGUAGCGAAAUUCCUUGUCGGGUAAGUUCCGACCCGCACGAAAGGCGUAACGAUUUGGGCACUGUCUCAACGAGAGACUCGGUGAAAUCAUAGUACCUGUGAAGAUGCAGGUUACCCGCGACAGGACGGAAAGACCCCGUGGAGCUUUACUGUAGCCUGAUAUUGAAAUUCGGCACAGCUUGUACAGGAUAGGUAGGAGCCUUUGAAACGUGAGCGCUAGCUUACGUGGAGGCGCUGGUGGGAUACUACCCUAGCUGUGUUGGCUUUCUAACCCGCACCACUUAUCGUGGUGGGAGACAGUGUCAGGCGGGCAGUUUGACUGGGGCGGUCGCCUCCUAAAAGGUAACGGAGGCGCUCAAAGGUUCCCUCAGAAUGGUUGGAAAUCAUUCAUAGAGUGUAAAGGCAUAAGGGAGCUUGACUGCGAGACCUACAAGUCGAGCAGGGUCGAAAGACGGACUUAGUGAUCCGGUGGUUCCGCAUGGAAGGGCCAUCGCUCAACGGAUAAAAGCUACCCCGGGGAUAACAGGCUUAUCUCCCCCAAGAGUUCACAUCGACGGGGAGGUUUGGCACCUCGAUGUCGGCUCAUCGCAUCCUGGGGCUGUAGUCGGUCCCAAGGGUUGGGCUGUUCGCCCAUUAAAGCGGUACGCGAGCUGGGUUCAGAACGUCGUGAGACAGUUCGGUCCCUAUCCGUCGUGGGCGUAGGAAAUUUGAGAGGAGCUGUCCUUAGUACGAGAGGACCGGGAUGGACAUACCUCUGGUGUACCAGUUGUCGUGCCAACGGCAUAGCUGGGUAGCUAUGUGUGGACGGGAUAAGUGCUGAAAGCAUCUAAGCAUGAAGCCCCCCUCAAGAUGAGAUUUCCCAACUUCGGUUAUAAGAUCCCUCAAAGAUGAUGAGGUUAAUAGGUUCGAGGUGGAAGCAUGGUGACAUGUGGAGCUGACGAAUACUAAUCGAUCGAAGACUUAAUCAA